Molecule: unclassified non-coding RNA, 354 nt
Filed under: soil metagenome
Description: partial contains 5.8S ribosomal RNA, internal transcribed spacer 2, and large subunit ribosomal RNA
Rfam family: 5.8S ribosomal RNA (bases 1-120)
Source: RNAcentral
GAUGAAGAACGCAGCGAAAUGCGAUAAGUAAUGUGAAUUGCAGAAUUCAGUGAAUCAUCGAAUCUUUGAACGCACAUUGCGCCCGCCAGUAUUCUGGCGGGCAUGCCUGUCCGAGCGUCAUUUCAACCCUCGAACCCCUCCGGGGGGUCGGCGUUGGGGAUCGGCCCUCCCUUAGCGGGUGGCCGUCUCCGAAAUACAGUGGCGGUCUCGCCGCAGCCUCUCCUGCGCAGUAGUUUGCACACUCGCAUCGGGAGCGCGGCGCGUCCAUAGCCGUUAAACACCCAACUUCUGAAAUGUUGACCUCGGAUCAGGUAGGAAUACCCGCUGAACUUAAGCAUAUCAAUAAGCGGAGGA